Molecule: transfer RNA, 87 nt
Filed under: Clostridia bacterium
Lineage: Bacteria; Bacillati; Bacillota; Clostridia
Also listed under: 2 other names
Description: tRNA-Leu
Rfam family: tRNA
About the family: Transfer RNA (tRNA) molecules are approximately 80 nucleotides in length. Their secondary structure includes four short double-helical elements and three loops (D, anti-codon, and T loops). Further hydrogen bonds mediate the characteristic L-shaped molecular structure. tRNAs have two regions of fundamental functional importance: the anti-codon, which is responsible for specific mRNA codon recognition, and the 3' end, to which the tRNAs corresponding amino acid is attached (by aminoacyl-tRNA synthetases). tRNAs cope with the degeneracy of the genetic code in two manners: having more than one tRNA (with a specific anti-codon) for a particular amino acid; and 'wobble' base-pairing, i.e. permitting non-standard base-pairing at the 3rd anti-codon position.
Source: RNAcentral
GCCGGUGUGUUGGAAUUGGCAGACGAGGCGGACUCAAAAUCCGUUGGUAGCGAUACCGUGCGGGUUCGACCCCCGCCACCGGCACCA